GACGAACGCUGGCGGCGUGCUUAACACAUGCAAGUCGAACGGUGAAGCGCCUUCCUUUUUGGUGGGUGUGGAUGAGUGGCGAACGGGUGAGUAACACGUGAGUAACCUGCCCCCUUCUUCUGGAUAACCGCAUGAAAGUGUGGCUAAUACGGGAUAUUCUGGGUCUGUCGCAUGAUGGGUCUGGGAAAGAUAUUGUUUCGGUGGGGGAUGGGCUCGCGGUCUAUCAGCUUGUUGGGGGGGUGAUGGCCUACCAAGGCGGUGACGGGUAGCCGGCCUGAGAGGGUGGACGGUACCACGGGGACUGAGACACGGCCCAGACUCCUACGGGAGGCAGCAGUGGGGAAUAUUGCACAAUGGGCGCAAGCCUGAUGCAGCGACGCCGCGUGAGGGAUGGAGGCCUGCGGGUUGUGAACCUCUUUCGCCAGUGAAGCAGGCCUGCCUCGUUUGUGGGUGGGUUGACGGUAGCUGGAUAAGAAGCGCCGGCUAACUACGUG
RNAcentral lists this ribosomal RNA (494 nucleotides) under uncultured bacterium. Its description in RNAcentral is "partial 16S ribosomal RNA". It matches the Rfam family "Bacterial small subunit ribosomal RNA", at positions 28 to 507 of the family's 1533-position model. The record is from RNAcentral.